UGAUGUAGAAUGUUUAGAAUCAAAAUUAGUUAUGACAGAUAUAACUUACUGAUAGGAACAAAAUGAAUGGAGUUUGUUAGAAAUGCUGGUUAAGCAAUGCAAUCAAAUUGGCAGUUAGCAAUAGGACAUUGAUGGACAGUGCUACAAAAUAUAAACUAAACGAUUUUUUUUACCUUGCCUCUUGUUGAAGUAAAACUCUCCAUGAUGUUGAUGCAAAAUGGAAUUGAAGAAAAAUCUAUUAUAUCGCAUCAUAUUCAAACAAACCUUACCAAUAGGUACUUCC
RNAcentral lists this long non-coding RNA (283 nucleotides) under Glycine max (soybean). RNAcentral's name for it is "long non-coding RNA (GMAX_LNC002893)". Lineage: Eukaryota; Viridiplantae; Streptophyta; Magnoliopsida; Fabales; Fabaceae. The record is from RNAcentral.